UGAGGAAUAUUGGUCAAUGGGCGAGAGCCUGAACCAGCCAAGUAGCGUGCAGGAUGACGGCCCUAUGGGUUGUAAACUGCUUUUAUGUGGGGAUAAAGUGCGUGACGUGUCAUGCAUUGCAGGUACCACAUGAAUAAGGACCGGCUAAUUCCGUGCCAGCAGCCGCGGUAAUACGGAAGGUCCGGGCGGUAUCCGGAUUUAUUGGGUUUAAAGGGAGCGUAGGCUGUCUAUUAAGCGUGUUGUGAAAUAUACCGGCUCAACCGGUGGCUUGCAGCGCGAACUGGUCGACUUGAGUAUGCAGGAAGUAGGCGGAAUUCAUGGUGUAGCGGUGAAAUGCUUAGAUAUCAUGACGAACUCCGAUUGCGCAGGCAGCUUACUGUAGCAUAACUGACGCUGAUGCUCGAAAGGGCGGGUAUCAAACAGG
Molecule: ribosomal RNA, 424 nt
Filed under: Fusobacteriota bacterium
Lineage: Bacteria; Fusobacteriati; Fusobacteriota
Description: Fusobacteria bacterium partial 16S ribosomal RNA
Rfam family: Bacterial small subunit ribosomal RNA
Source: RNAcentral